GAUGGACGCUGGCGGCGUGCUUAACACAUGCAAGUCGAACGAGAGCUUGCUCUUGUAACUUAGUGGCGAACGGGUGAGUAACGCGUGAGAAACCUGCCUUUCAGUGGGGGACAACAGUUGGAAACGACUGCUAAUACCGCAUAAUGUAUUCGGACGGCAUCGUCUGGAUACCAAAGCUUUAUGUGCUGAAAGAUGGCUUCGCGUCUGAUUAGCUAGAUGGCGGGGUAACGGCUCACCAAGGCGACGAUCAGUAGCCGGUCUGAGAGGAUGAACGGCCACAUUGGGACUGAGAUACGGCCCAGACUCCUACGGGAGGCAGCAGUGGGGAAUAUUGGGCAAUGGGGGAAACCCUGACCCAGCAACGCCGCGUGAAGGAAGAAGGCCUUCGGGUUGUAAACUUCUUUUACCAGGGACGAAGAACGUGACGGUACCUGGAGAAAAAGCAACGGCUAACUACGUG
RNAcentral lists this ribosomal RNA (460 nucleotides) under uncultured bacterium. RNAcentral describes it as "bacterial SSU rRNA". It matches the Rfam family "Bacterial small subunit ribosomal RNA", at positions 28 to 507 of the family's 1533-position model. The record is from RNAcentral.